The sequence is a ribosomal RNA, 194 nucleotides long. It matches the Rfam family "Bacterial small subunit ribosomal RNA", at positions 337 to 522 of the family's 1533-position model.
UCCUACGGGAGGCAGCAGUGGGGAAUUUUGGACAAUGGGCGCAAGCCUGAUCCAGCCAUGCCGCGUGCGGGAAGAAGGCCUUCGGGUUGUAAACCGCUUUUGUUCAGGGAAGAAAAGGUUCUGGCUAAUACCUGGGACUCAUGACGGUACCUGAAGAAUAAGCACCGGCUAACUACGUGCCAGCAGCCGCGGUA